CGUCGCCUACCGCUCAAAAAAGAAGAAAAAGAAAAAACCUCGUCAGGGAAGCACGCCCCGAGCGCGGGCUCUGCCGCCGCCGCCACAAGCCUCCUCCACGCCUCCCCUCCGGUCCGCCCCCCUUUGCUCGUCGUCCCCACAUACCCGCCGCCGCCGCACGACGCAUGAGCCGCACGCCCGCACCCUGCCUCUUCGGAGUCGCCGCCGCCGCCCAGGCCGGGUGGUGAGGCUGGUGGUGGCUGUAGGUAGGUGAUGUAGAUGGAGAUGCGACGCUUGCGGCGGUGCCGGCCGGCUGAUAAUACGUGCAGGUUGCAGCAGCUAAUAGAGACGCUGUCUGUCUCUGUCUAGGAAACUCACUCAUCGCCUGAGAGACAAAUUGGUGAUUCCAUCCAUGGAUUGGUUUGGUUUGGUUGUUCCAUCGAUGAAUCCCAUGCACGUCGGUCUGAUUCACCUGGCUGGUCUCUUCCAUGCUCCGCCACCAUCAGCUUUCUCCACGCCUCGCAACCAUCAGCCUCCUUCACGCCGAUUGAAGAGCUGGCCUAAUCACAAAACACUCCACCACCAUCUGAAGGAAAAAAAAAACCACCACCACCAGCCUCCCUGCUGCUCCGGCUAUGCGGCAGCUACCACUGCGACUCCUGCGCUCUGCGGCGGCCGGAUCACUCCGGAGCCCCACCCUCUCACGUGGCGGCUGUCCUGUCCCUCUAGCGCCACAUCUGUUGGCGGAGGCAGCCGCCACGCCGGCCGAGCUUGCCCGCUGGCUACCGCGGAGAGGGUACUCCCGGUUCGCGAGCGGAUUCACCCCCUUGGAGCCGAAGAAGCUGGGAUCCAUCCUCGACGUCGAGCGCGCCAAGGGCCUCUCCCCCGAACACCUCGUCGCGGCAUGGGAUGACCCCAUAUUUUGUUAUUCCUUUGUGGAGAGGAAGUGGAUGUACCACCAUGUUUAUGCAAGGUCGCUGCCCUCUGCUCUCUCGCGACCACGCCCUCGGGGCAGUUUUCCAUUGCCCAGCGCCCCACACCUCGCCCCACCUCUUCCCUCCCCGCCAGCCACCGCCUGCCUCCAUCUGCACGCGUCGCCGGACCGCCGCGUCCACGCGUAGCCCGGACUGCCGCCCACGCUCCAAGCGCCCGGUCUGCCACGCCCACGCUUGAGGCGCCCAGGCCGCCCCAUCCACGCUCCAGGCGGACCGCGGCGCCCACGCUCGAGGCUCCCGGGCCGCCCCGUCCAUGCUCCAGGCGGACCACGGCGCCAUAGCUCCAGGCGCCCGGACCGCCACGCUCACGCUCCAGCCGCUCGGGCCGCCGCGUCCAUGCACCGCCCGGACACAGGCACCGCCGGUCCUCCACACUGCAGGAUGAGCAAGAGUAAUCCAGACAAAGUUCCAGGAAUGACUACGCAUCGUUCCCCAUUUAAAGACAUAACGAACUCGUCUAUGAUUGAGAAUGCAAAUGUCACUACUAAUAGUCAAGAAGCAAAAAGGAAUACAUUGUAUGCCCGAAUGUCUGAUGAGAAGAGAGCAGCAUUCCUUGAAAAACGUCGUAUGUCCCGACAAGAAAAGAAGUCUCAGGCUCUGAAUAUUGUUAAUGGUCAACUAACAGUUGAGGCACAUGCUCUGUUAGGAUCCAAGGAAUGUACACCUUUGAGAAACAUAACCAACACACACACAAAUGGUAUGUUCAUACUCUGCAUAUCAUAAUUAUUGAAUGACCAUUUGCUCAUUUUGCUAGGAGGUUUGUCUCCUGCGUUGUGUCAGAUGCAACAUGUACUGAAGCCGCAGGACACCCUUGAACAGCGGGAUCUGCCGCCUCCCUUGGACUUCGCCGGCAAGGCGUGAUCCGUCGUCGCCACCCACUCCUCCCAUGGGAGGAUGCGGCUGCUAUCAUCAACCUCCGCUCCAUGGGCGUGCUCCCAAAUUCAAUAUGUUAGAUUUGCAGAGACUGAUGUUGCAUGACGCAAGAAGAAACAUGUGGUUCUGUUGCGAAUCACCGCAGCGAUGCAGUGCCAUGGAAGCUGGAGAAUUUUUAUCUACUAUACUUGUUCGUUGCCUGCAUCAUAUUGCAGUUCCAAAGUCCACAUAAGGAAUUUUAAAUAAUACAUAAUUCAUUGGCGUGUACUCUGUCAUAGGAUGUUGCUUUACAUUUUGGGCGCACCAUGUUUUAACUGAGAAGGCAGUUGUUGGUACAGUUAGAGUUCAAAGAGGUCCUUCGACGAGGGUGUGUCAAAACUCAGCUAGGCGCUUCGGUGUCAACUGUGGUUCCUUCACUACCCUCCUCAUUCGGUGUUCCACCUCACCACUCCCCAGCAGUGGGAGCAGAGCAGCCGACGGGUUCCUGGCUUACCUGCCUUGCAAAGAGCUGGUGCUUUUUUGGAAAUUUGAUAACACCACAAGCAGCAAUCGAUUUUGAAAGCCAAAAAACAUCCAAGACAUGUACAGUGGGAAUACUACCAGUUUAGGAGCAAAGUAACCAUUACUAGAGUAAUGAAUAUGAGAAAUGAAUAGUUGAUGAAACUGAGCACUGUUGUAAUUCUCGACAGUGAAAUGGUCUUUUUUGUCCCAGUAAAGGUUGGAGGCAGAAUCAGCUUCAAUCUCGAGUACCCAAUUGUAGAGAAGAUGAAAGGAGGCACAACAUAUAUGGAAGAUGGUGACCAGAUAAGGAAGCAAUUUUUGGUGCACCUACUCAACUACAUCAACAGUGAAGCUGCACACAACAUUUCGGAUGUUUGAGAGAAUUGAUCAGCUUCAUCAGGAAAUAC
RNA transcript from Triticum dicoccoides, 2755 nucleotides. RefSeq lists it as uncharacterized. The record is from RefSeq and is a predicted model, not a curated record. The transcript has 12 exons. Lineage: Eukaryota; Viridiplantae; Streptophyta; Magnoliopsida; Poales; Poaceae.